CUGCGCGCUCUCCCAGGGCCCGCAGGCGAUCCAGGGCGCUCAGACUGGCAGAGACCCACAUUGUGGGGACCUCGGCUCCGAGGCAGGUCCCGGCCCACAGGAGUAUGGGAGUCUGCGGCCCGGGUGCUGGCAGGCUCCGUUGCUUUAUCGCAGAUGCAACGGAGCCCAGCACCAUCCAGGCCCGCGAAACAGUGCCCGGGAAUGUCCUGCCCCGAAGCUCAAGGCUCUUGACGGAACCGUGGCCUGGGCGCGGAAUGCGAGGCUGCGGCGCUGCGAUCGGAAAUUUACCAGCCAGUUCUCGGCUCGCGGCUGCCGCUUCGCUCAAUUUCUCAAACUUAAGCUUAGGUUCUCGCCCCUUCCGCCCCGCAUUCUCCCCUGAGCGCAGGGCUUUGCAAGCCGCAAAAGACACGGGAGAGAGCAGCCCUGGUAGCGAACAAAGCCGCCUCUGUCUCUGCUGCCUCCUGGAUUGCGGGGAUGUGCGUCCAGGUUGGACUCCGCGAGCGCAGAGGCAGCCGGGGGAGCGAGGCAGAAAAGAGUUUCAGAGACACCUGCUCUGCGGAAAAUCGUCCGAAGUUACACACUCUGGCAACACGAAACGCGUCACUUUUCUUUUCUUUUUAAUUAAUUCAGUUUCACGACAA
This is a long non-coding RNA of Mustela lutreola (European mink), 641 nucleotides long. RefSeq lists it as uncharacterized. The transcript is spliced from 2 exons. The record is from RefSeq and is a predicted model, not a curated record. Lineage: Eukaryota; Metazoa; Chordata; Mammalia; Carnivora; Mustelidae.